UUUAUGGAGAGUUUGAUCCUGGCUCAGGAUGAACGCUGGCGGCGUGCCUAAUACAUGCAAGUCGAGCGAACGGACGAGAAGCUUGCUUCUCUGAUGUUAGCGGCGGACGGGUGAGUAACACGUGGAUAACCUACCUAUAAGACUGGGAUAACUUCGGGAAACCGUAGCUAAUACCGGAUAAUAUUUUGAACCGCAUGGUUCAAAAGUGAAAGACGGUCUUGCUGUCACUUAUAGAUGGAUCCGCGCUGCAUUAGCUAGUUGGUAAGGUAACGGCUUACCAAGGCAACGAUGCAUAGCCGACCUGAGAGGGUGAUCGGCCACACUGGAACUGAGA
Molecule: ribosomal RNA, 334 nt
Filed under: Staphylococcus aureus
Lineage: Bacteria; Bacillati; Bacillota; Bacilli; Caryophanales; Staphylococcaceae
Description: bacterial SSU rRNA
Rfam family: Bacterial small subunit ribosomal RNA
Source: RNAcentral